CCUCUCUCCCAGGGGCUGCCCUUUAUCUUCCACAGGAACAGUUGGUACUCUGGCUGAAUCUAAUUCACCUGGUUGUUUUCCAUACCUCUGCACCACGAGCAGUUCCGCUUGGGCAGAAACAUAACAGUUAAAAUCUGCCACUGUUUCUGCGUUGGCAACAUCUCAUCCAAGAGCAGGACUGUCACACGUCCAGAUACACCUCCUUCUACCCAGAAACUUUGUGCUGUCCCAAAAGGAAGAAGGGUACAGACAUUGUGUAUUGCCUGCUGAAUCUGAGAAACCAAAGAGAAUCUGUUUAAACUGGAAUUCCCUACUGUGGAUAAGAAACAGUGGUUGUUGGUGAC
RNAcentral lists this long non-coding RNA (344 nucleotides) under Calidris pugnax (ruff). Its description in RNAcentral is "lncRNA (ENSCPUG00000012488.1)". The record is from RNAcentral. Lineage: Eukaryota; Metazoa; Chordata; Aves; Charadriiformes; Scolopacidae.